This 492-nucleotide ribosomal RNA is filed under the name uncultured bacterium. RNAcentral's name for it is "partial 16S ribosomal RNA". It matches the Rfam family "Bacterial small subunit ribosomal RNA", at positions 29 to 507 of the family's 1533-position model. The record is from RNAcentral.
AGUGAACGCUGGCGGUAGGCCUAACACAUGCAAGUCGAACGGCAGCACAGUAAGAGCUUGUUCUUACGGGUGGCGAGUGGCGGACGGGUGAGGAAUACAUCGGAAUCUACUUUUUCGUGGGGGAUAACGUAGGGAAACUUACGCUAAUACCGCAUACGACCUACGGGUGAAAGCAGGGGAUCUUCGGACCUUGCGCGAUUGAAUGAGCCGAUGUCGGAUUAGCUAGUUGGCGGGGUAAAGGCACACCAAGGCGACGAUCCGUAGCUGGUCUGAGAGGAUGAUCAGCCACACUGGAACUGAGACACGGUCCAGACUCCUACGGGAGGCAGCAGUGGGGAAUAUUGGACAAUGGGCGCAAGCCUGAUCCAGCCAUACCGCGUGGGUGAAGAAGGCCUUCGGGUUGUAAAGCCCUUUUGUUGGGAAAGAAAAGCAGCAGGUUAAUACCCCGCUGUUCUGACGGUACCCAAAGAAUAAGCACCGGCUAACUUCGUG